AAAUAAUAGAAUAAAUGGUUUUUCAUUUUUGCAAAUUGUAAAGAACUCCUUUUGUGGGUUGUAAUAUUAAACCUCCAGAUUAAAUUUUGGGCAUAUGAAUCUCCAAGAGGAGCCAUAGAGUUCUUGAGCGAAAAGUAAUACUUUGGUUUCAACGAAGAAGUAAAAGAUUGUGUCCUUCCAAGGAAUGUUAAGGUAAACACUUCUAGGAAACUUCGUAAUACACGAUUGAGAAAGAUACCGUUUUUGUCGAGAUUUUAUUUCCACUUUGUCCUACCCCUUCACAGUCGCUCACUGAAGCAAACACCCCUUCUUGUAACAAACAGAGCUGAGUUCUAUCCUCUGUAGCUCGUCACUUGAAACAGUUUCCUGUAAACCAACCAAAAACUUCUUCAACUCUUCUUCAGCACGUUUGCUAAUUACCUUUCAGUGUGAGGAUGAAUACCGGUCCAGUAUGUAGAGUCAAGAUGCGUUCCAAGUCUAGUUUAGCAAAAUCUCUGUGCAUCAGUCUAGUUCUCUGAAACCAUCUUUUAAUCAUUUUAUUUCAGUUUACACUGGAGGGUUCAUUCUCAGAAACCACGUGCAGAUCAUGCUUCUCUGGGGCUUUCUUUGUCCCUCGAGUUCUAGGUUUUGCUUAUUCUUUGGCGCCUCAACAUAGACAAGCUCAGACUCCUCCUCGCUUUAUUGGCAACAAUAACAACAAAUUUCUCCAUUCACAUGAAGCGUUUAUUAGGUAGUAAGCAGAUGUUACCGAGGAGACCAAAACAACAACUGGGUGUAUGUGUGUCUGGGAAAUUGGAUGAAAUGAAAAGGUUUACAUCCUGACAAGUCAACGUCAAAUGAAACAACAGAUGAUCAAUAUGCCCUGUUACCUCACCACCUGUAACCUCACUCACUGCCCCUCUCUGUUUUUCUGGCCUUUCUCAUUUUUCCUGUUUCUUCGGCAUUUACAGCCAUCACUUCUUUUGAAGAGCUAUUACAGCAACUUUCUGCCCUUUCUUAGAUGGAACAUCUUUCUCCUCCCAAAUUCUUCCUUCCCAAUUCCCUUAGAUUCUAAUCUACCCUAAGGAAAAUGCUGACUUUUUAUCAGAUAUACUAUAAUUAUGAUAAGGAAACAAUGAAAUGGUAAACACAAAGACCGCCUAAGAAAAAGGGCACAUAUUUAUUGCAAGUGAUGAAAAUAAUGCAAACUAAAAUAAGACUUUCAUCCAGAAAAGCAUAUAAAAUCCAGGUAAGGAAUGCAGUCUUUCCCAUUCUCUGGAAAGCUCCUCCUGAACCAAAGGAGAAAGUUCUUUCCCUUUCUGCUCUCUUUCACUUAACUAUAGGGACUAUUUAGUGUUUUUCUUCCUAAGUCCUAUAUUCCCAUACACAGUAAUAGUGAGCACUGUUGUUUGAGCUUAUUAAUAGAUUGAACGACAUGUUCAUUCAUUCAGCAAACAGACAUGUUUAUCUGAAAUGGAGAUGCAAAAAUAAAUCAGACAUUUUGCCUUCAAAGGCAUUACAGUCCAAUGAUUAUCAUUUAAAUAAAUUAUACGUGUUGUCAGUAUUAUGAUAAGCCUGUGUUUUGAGUAGAGAGGGACCACACAAGAGGGUCUGGACAGUUUUUCACUGACAAUGUUUGGAUGUGGGUGACACAAGUUAUUUUUAAAAACAAAUAACUAUUAAGUGCUCUCAAGGUGGACAGUUCAACGCUGGGAAAAUGGAAGAUGCUUUUUUCAUGAAUGAAGGUAGGUUUUGGGUAAGGGGAAGGCCAGGUGUAGAGAGAGGAGAGAAAUGAUAGAAACCUAGAGUAAAGAUGAGGGAAAAGUAAAAGAGAAGAGAACUUUUUCUCAAUUUAUGCAGUCUACUGCAACACAUGUGAAUUACCGGCAGCAAUUUUCUCAGCAGGAUCUAGUGGAAUUUUGCUCUUUUCCUGCUUUCCAAAUUUACACUGACAGAAUACGAGCUAAUGGGGAGACGGAAUGGUGGAUCAGCGAGCUGGCGAUUAGUGGCUGUUAUGUGGAGUCAGGACGAGGUCAUCUACGUGAUGCUCGUGUCCAGAAGAGUCAUUGGCU
Long non-coding RNA from Equus asinus (donkey), 2051 nucleotides. The record is from Ensembl. Lineage: Eukaryota; Metazoa; Chordata; Mammalia; Perissodactyla; Equidae.